GAGGCUGGAUCCACCGGAUCCACUGAGAAUUCCUAUGUUAAAUUUGGGAAAUGUUUAUACUAUGUUGUUCGAUCUUGAUUUUGGGAGAUCGGGCCUCAAAGAAAAGGGGAAAUAAUAAAUAAAUAAAAAAGGAGACAAAGAAAUAAAUAGGGUUUUCACCAAAAAUUCAUUUUCAAAUUUGCUAGAGAAGAGUGAGUGAUUCAUCUUUCCUAAUCAAAAGAUUUCCUUAAAAAGAAAGAACAAGGGGGUUCCUUCGAUUUUCUAAUUGCUGGCGGCUUGACCGCUUGUUUCUUAUCUUCCUAAAUUCUCUGGUGAGAAUCGUUGGAUCCCUCGCAAAUCGGGGCAAUCCUCUAAAAGAUGAUGAAGGAAGUUCUUUACAAAAUGGGAGAAUCUGGGUUUUCAAAAAUCGGGGCAGAGGAGCGAUGCCCCAAAGCAGCUCCCAGGGAAUGUAUGAGUUCUUUGAAAACUUCUCGCUGCUUCCUCCCGCGAUUCUCGACGGGAUAUUCUCCCCAGAGUCUGAACUUAACUCAUCUUGAAUCAUCACCCUCGGGCAUCGGUCUCCUUUAGCUGCACAUCGGAGCAGUAGCUACAGGAUCUGAGUCGCCGAUGCGUGAGGACCCUGUAGCGCGUGGGAGCUCGUUCUUUUUGGCCUUCAGUCGAUGAGAUAGGACUGAACAGGUGAAGACGAGUCAGGCUGUGCUCCCGACGCUCGUUCGUGAAGAAUGCCUCACACAUGUUUGAUAAUUUGCCUAAAUGUGGUCGUAUGCCGAGCUUACAACCGUUUAAUGGUUUGCUGAGCUGUUGAUUUCGAGAAUAGGCAGCCUGUGGCUGGUCUGAGUUUUGGUUUGGGAGCAUCCGUAGUAUCGAAGCCUGAGUUUGGACAGAAGGUGCUGGUUAUCCGAGACAGAGUUCAGGGUGUUUUUAUUUAUGUUUUUUUUUACUACGAUUUCUUUCACAAUGUUUUUGGAGUACACUUCCGGGCUGGGUUGUAUUCAAGAAGUUUAUGGGUUGCGAUUUCAUUUACUAAUAUUUUUAUUGAUUUAUUUCUUUUGCUUAACUUGCUUAUAAUCUCAUUUGCUCCAAUAUUUGGUGCGAGGUUAUGUUUCUGGAAAAUCGUCGUCUGUCGCCGAUCGUUCGAGCAGCUCCGGAUAUCACUCAUACCUAAUAUGGUUCAAGGAACGUAGCUCACAGUAGUAUAUGUGUGGAAGGGAUUUAGCACCUAGAUUUUUACGUAGCAGUUUUCGGCGGUCUGGUGAAAUUAUAUUAUGGGGGUUCAGCGCCGACAAGGUCAUCGCUGUAGGAGUGGCCGCCGAUAUGCUCGACGGAGGGUUCUGGUCAGGGAGGAAAAUCAUGCCCUUGAAGGAGCUGAGAUAAGGCUGAGAACUAGUUUUUAGAGGAUAUUUGAGAGAUGAUGAGCUCUUUGGGUGUGUCAUUGUGGCUUAGGCCUCGGAGCAAAGCUGUUUGUGAAGAAGUUUUUAGCACAAAAUAGAGGUGAAUAGAAAGGGACACCAAGGCAGUACAUAUAUAUACAAACCAUUGUCAAUACUAUUGUAUCUAUCUCCUUGCCUUAAAAGCAUUGCUGCUGCUCUUCUAUAUGGGAUUCGAAAACGAAGCCGUCAUUUAGAGAAAAAUUCAAAGCUGCCAUUCAAAGAAAAACAAAGUUGCUCUUCUAUCAGUCGAUCGUCACAGGAACUUCGCCUCUUUGCGUUUGUGUUGGACUUUGGGCUGGACUUAUCAUUGGAGUUGCGAUCAAAUUUCACACCAGCAAGUUGUUGAAGUGAUUAUCGAUGUCAUGGAUGGGAGCGAAUGAAGGAAGGGAAUGUAUUUCGAGAGGAAACAGUAUCAGGUGAAGCCACAUUUCGGGGGGGCAUGUGGCAUAGCUCUACAUUUGUUCAUUAUAAUGCUUGAGCUGAAAUCUCACGGAACUCGACUUCGUUAUCUAGAAUAUGCUUUGGCAUCUUUGUCUUAUUAUUAUUAUUAUUAUUAGGUUGUGAACAAAGACGUAAUCUUACCAAAAUUGCUUUGAUUUUGAAAUUGAUUUUCAGCGUGGGGAACGAUUCUCGGGGUUUGAGGCUGUGACAACUCUGCUUCUCGAUACAAUGGUAGAUUCCUAGCCCUACCAAGGGUUGAUGGAGUACUGAAGCCAGCCGUACCUAUUUACCGAGCCGACAGAGUAGCGUUCAACAAGCCUGCUCCUAAUUCGGGGGGAUUUCUAAAUACAUUUAUCAUUGGCUGUGGGGAGCUUCUCAAACUAACUGGGAAAAAUGGUAAAAUACGGAUAGGAGGACAGAUACUGACAUGGUUUAUGGGAGGAUCGAAACCCGGUUCUAGCGUUGCACGGAAUGUAUAUUCACUUCCAGCUCUGUUCAAGAUCUUUGGGCGUAAUAAACUUCAGCCCUGCUCAAGAUUUUUAUCGAUGCAAUGAAAAAUUUACAGCCUGUCUUCAUUCCCAACUGGAUUUAUCUCUUGGCGCAAGGGGAGACUUCCUAUUUACAGACCUGCGUGGGAUUCUUCUUCGGUUUCAGUUGCGGAGUUGAGGCCGUGACAGUCCUAUCUAUUAUUUGACGGGACUCUUGAUGCAGGGCGGGAUUUUCCAGCCAUGCAUCUAUUCUCGAAUUGAUGAGGGACUACGGGACAGCCCUGUUCAGGUCUUCUUAACGGGAUUUUUCCAGCCCUGCUCAUUAUUAUUUUCCACAUGGCGGACCCCUGGACCAUAACAACUCCGUGAUGGGCACGGGACAACGCUGCGAGUUGAUGGGAUAUCAAUGACCCUGCGCAUUGUUUUCUGGGCUUAUGACUUCUUGAUGAUUAAUCAACACUUCUUAAUUUCUUGUGAUCUAAUUUUGCUUAUCUCUCGGUUACAAAAUCAGGAGAUUUUUAUCAAUUUCUGAUAUGAAUAGAUGCGUGACGACUCAAUUAAAAUUAGAGGACGAGGCUGAAAAUACCGACCCAACCUUACUCAUUACUUCUUGGGGCAGCUGCACUACUUUUAUGCGGGGAUAAUAUCCUUGCACGUUAUCAUUCUGAAAUACACACUAUGACAGCCCUGUUCGUGGAUAGAGGGACAUAGCUAAUACUUCAAAUCUCUGGGGUCUCGGCAGGAGCAAAUGAGGCGAAUUAAGGGAGUCAUUAGAGGUUGUGAGAUUUGAAUGGGAUUGAGAUAGGUUUCUCUGCCAUCUGCAAAGAAGUGUGGCCGUGAAGAGAGGGAUAUCAGCACUGGGGUUAUGUAUACAUAUAGACACAAGUUCACCAGUCAUUAUUCUUCAAUGCUGGCUAUAUUUUUACUCUGUGUAGAAGCACGACAGUGCAGUUCAAGACCUCUUGGCCAGCAAUAGGUAACUUUUCAGGAAUGUCGGCUCAGUAUUUAUCCGAGUAUUGAGUUGAUGGGGAUCAAUCUGGCAGCCCUGCAUAUUACCUACACGGCGCAACGAAAACACCCGGUCUGCGUUUAUUUCAUGAGAUUUUCUCGGCGUCGAGGAGAGAUUUGCAGCCGCACAUUUAUUGUCAGUCCUGAUCGGGUACUUCUCGGGAGCUUGGGAAAGGCCCAGCCUUGCCAAGACCUCUCAGUAGCUUUGGAAAUUUCCAGUCCUGCUCGGGGACUUCUCGGAAGCUUUGGAAAUUGCCAGCCUUGCUCGGCGACCUCUCAGUAACUUUGGAAAUUUCCAGCCGUGCUCGGGUACUUCUCAGAAGCUUCGGAAAUUGCCAGCCCUGCUCGGCGACCUCUCGGUAGCUUUGGAAAUUUCCAGCCCUGCUCAGUGCUAUCUUCAAGAAAUUAAAAAAAAAAAAUAAUUGGCAUACUCAAAAAACCGGUGUUGUUGGAAUCUUGUAUUUGUGCAGGAGGCUUAUUGAGGGAUUUAUUAUGUUUCAGAUUUUGGAACUUCAAGAUUUUUUUACUAUCAAAAUAGUUUUUGAUUUGUUUA
Long non-coding RNA from Salvia miltiorrhiza (redroot sage), 3920 nucleotides. RefSeq lists it as uncharacterized. The record is from RefSeq and is a predicted model, not a curated record. Lineage: Eukaryota; Viridiplantae; Streptophyta; Magnoliopsida; Lamiales; Lamiaceae. The transcript has 2 exons.